RNAcentral lists this ribosomal RNA (306 nucleotides) under uncultured eukaryote. Its description in RNAcentral is "partial 18S ribosomal RNA". It matches the Rfam family "Eukaryotic small subunit ribosomal RNA", at positions 1470 to 1796 of the family's 1831-position model. The record is from RNAcentral.
CCCUUAGAUGUUCUGGGCUGCACGCGUGCUACACUGAUUACUUCAACAAGUGUUUUAACUGGAGAGUUCGCGUAAUCCUGAAAUGUUAUCGUGAUGGGAGUAGAGUAUUGUAUUUGUUAAUCUUUAACGAGGAAUUCCUAGUAAGUGUAGGUUUAUAAGUUGUUCUGAUUACGUCCCUGCCCUUUGUACACACCGCCCGUCGCUCCUACCGAUUGGGUGAGCCGAUGAAACUCUCGGAUGUAGGCUAUUCAUAGCCCGCAGAAGAGAUUUGAAUCGUAGCGCUUAGAGGAAGGAGAAGUCGUAACA